GAACUCCAAGGGCAGGAGGUAACCAUUAAAGAGGACCAUCAUGUAGUGUGAGGAGUCAACAUUUCACACUAGAAAGCCCUUGGUUCAAGUUUUGUCUCUGCCACCUACAGAUUUUGUAACCCUGAGGAAACUAGCUACCUCUUUAUGUACUGCCCUAUGGAGAGGCACACAUGUCAAGAAACUGAGGGAGUGCCUUCCAGUCAACAGCCAGCCAGGAACUAAGGUGCUCAGUACAGCAGCCUCCACAAAGGACUGAACAAUGCCAACAGCUAUUUGACUGUGCUUGGAAGAUCUCCGUUUAGUUAACCCUUCAGAUGAGACCGCAGCCCUGGCCAGCAAACAAAUUGCAGCCUAUGGAAAGACCUUAAGGCAGAAGCACCCAACUGAACCACCCGAGGGCUCUGACUUACAGAAACUGUGAGCAUAUAGUGAAAUGGCCUCUACCUUAUUUUGAAUGGAUUUCUGGGAUAAAGUUCUUCAGUGAUAACAUGUUUGAAGACACUGAAGGAAUUAACCAGAAAGAAAAGAAGAGAAGAAGGAGAAGAAAGAAGAAGAAGAAGAAGGAGAAGGAGAAGGAGACGAGGGAAGAGGGAGAAGAGAGAGAAGAGGGAGGAAAAGAAGAAGAAGAAGAAGAAGAAGAAGAG
Molecule: long non-coding RNA, 644 nt
Filed under: Homo sapiens (human)
Lineage: Eukaryota; Metazoa; Chordata; Mammalia; Primates; Hominidae
Description: non-protein coding LINC01229:8
Source: RNAcentral